Long non-coding RNA from Triticum aestivum (bread wheat), 420 nucleotides. RefSeq lists it as uncharacterized. The transcript is spliced from 2 exons. The record is from RefSeq and is a predicted model, not a curated record. Lineage: Eukaryota; Viridiplantae; Streptophyta; Magnoliopsida; Poales; Poaceae.
CACCCUCCCGCUCCUCUUCCUCCUGAGCAUCAAUGGCGGGGGUGCUAGGAGGGGGAGGGGCGGAUGGGCCCUUCUUCGAGCCGUACAACCAUCGCAGAGCAGAGCAGGAAGCUCGUCUCCGAGUUAAAUGCAUCUGGUCAUGGAUAUGAUUCAGAGCAUCAGAUUCACAAGCAUGAUGGAUGGAGGGAUCUGUCAAAUGGUGCGGCUCCUUGUACUACAAUGACAGUGACAUGCCGGCCUCCCACACGCACAUAGCAUGCACUGAUUGACACCUCAGUAAUCAAAUGCAGGGGAGUAUCUAGCUUUGCUUGUAUGUGUGUGUACUAAGAUGAGGCAGUUAUCAAAUUAAGUGUCUUCUGAAAGCAACAAAUAUGAUGAUGAUACAAUACAAACUUGUAAGUCACAUCAAACUCUGCUUCU